Long non-coding RNA from Cephus cinctus (wheat stem sawfly), 560 nucleotides. RefSeq lists it as uncharacterized. Lineage: Eukaryota; Metazoa; Arthropoda; Insecta; Hymenoptera; Cephidae. The record is from RefSeq and is a predicted model, not a curated record. The transcript is spliced from 3 exons.
AAGUAUGAUCGGUUUAUAAAAUACGUCCGCGAUUUGUGUUCCAUAACGGUACGUUUGUCUUUUAAGAUGACGUUCUUUCCUGGCUUUUCUUUGGAGUCAUGUUCCCAGGUUUAAUCGUUUUAUACGUAGUCAGUUUGAACGGACACGUUAUUGGUAUGCGAUGGAAAAGGAUGAGUAUUCGAGAAAUUAUGUGUUUUACCAUAAGAUGUCCGAUGAUUUUAUUUAUUAAAUAGCUCCGUGUUUAUUGGAUAAUAAUCCUGAAUCUUUGUGGAUGAUAUAUUUUUACGGGACUACCUGAUUGUAUCUCAUUCUUCGAGUAACCCUACAACUGCACAAUAAUGUGACGUCAGCCGCACUUCCGGGACGCGCAUCGACUUGGGACCAAUCCGAAUCAGGAAAUACUUCAUCGAUCUAGAACAUUCGGAUUUUUGCUGAAUAUCUACUUAGCGUACGCUAAUAUCUGAGCCGGGUGCCCUCGCGAUGCUAAGGAGUGUCGUAUAAAUAGCCAUGAAAGGUUGCCGGCUGUCGUGUGAUUUCAUAGCGAUAGAAUUCGCAGGUGU